UGAAACCAGCUAGAGUCUGUCUCCCAUGGGGAGCUGAGAGAUGAGGCGGUAGCCAGGCUCACAGCUGGAGCCCUCCACCCACCCCAGGGUGACCACACUAGCUGUGAGCCUGGGGCAGGGUUCACAGCAGGAAGCCUACCAGCCAUUCAUGUCAAUUUCAUGGCUCCAGCUGUGAGCCCAGAGCUGCAGAGCCUAGCUGUGAAAUUGGUGAGCGUGACAGCCAACAGCAGAUGCAAGUAACGCAGUGUCUACACAGACACUGCAUCGCCCUAACUAUGCUGGUAAAACCCCUACGCCUCUGGCGGAGGUGGAGUUAUGUCGUCGGUGUAGUAGGGCACUUACAUUGGUGGGAGCAAGGCUGUAGUGUAGACACUGACAUAAUAAGGUUAAUGUAAGCUGCCUUAUGUUGCCCUAACGCUGUACUGCAGACCAGGCCUAGAAAUAAGCCUUUCAAGGAAAGAGUCCUGGCCAACAGGAUGUGGAGAUUAUGAGCCAGUGGGUCCCAGGUGGGCUGUGAUGCACAGGCGUGCUGGAUUACCUGCUGUGUUCACAGAGUGUGCUGGCUCUGAGGAGGGGGAAUGCCUUAAGCAAACCUUGCUCUCCACUGGCCAGGUUUUGGCCCUAAAGUGCGGUUUUUUAACAGCGAGAUAACAAACACACCGUAGUUAUCUCACUGUAAAUUUCUCUACAAGGCACAGAAUGGAGGAACCAUAUCCUGCCAAGCAGGGAGUCCAGAAAGGAUUAAUGGAUCAUAGUGGACACACAACUGAACGGGAGCACCCAGUGAGAUGCUCUUGCAGAAAGGGCUACUGCGAUUUUUGGAUGUAUAAACGGGGGAGGUGAGUAGGAGUAGGAAGGGGAUUUUCCCUCUGUGUAUGGCAAUGGGGAGACUGAAGCUGGGAUACUGCCUCUGGUUGUGGUGUGGUGUCCACAUUGUUAAAAUGGCAUUGCGAGAUUGGAGGGGGCACAGAGACGAGCCACAAAAAUGGUCCCGAGCGCUGGAAAAUUGCUUUAGAGUGAUAGGUGCAAACAUCUCAAUCUGUUCGGCUUAUCGAAAAAGAUUUGAGAGGUCGCUUGAUUACCCCAUACAUUUAACUUUAUGGGGAGAGAAUACCAGGUGGUAAAGGGCUCUUUAAUUCAGCGGAGAAAAAACAAGAACCAGUGGCUGGAAGUUAAAGCCAGACAAAUUCCAACUCAAAUUAAGGCACAGAUUCUGUACAGUGCGGAUGACUGAACACCGGAACAAACUGCCCCAGGAAGUGGGGAGUUCCCCAUUUGUUGAUGUCUCCAAAUCCAGGGUAGCUGCCUUCCUAGGAGAUGCUUUAGGUCAGCACAAGUUAUGCGACUCAAUCCAGGGGUAGGUGUUUUGGGUCUCAGCUGCAAAUGCUCCUCUCAGCUCCCAGCAUGAGCUCUGUUCAGCAGGAGCAAGAGACUUGGCAGCUCGACAGAUGUCCCUGCUGCUGAUGCAAUCUAACUGGCUGUUUCAUACUCACUAUGUGGCUACCAUCACAUCUCGCAGUUCCAUUACCCAGCCCAGCCCCUGGAUUUCCACAUCCUUGGUGAGGUGAUGCAAUGUGCGGGUGGAAUAACAGCAUAUAACUUUGAAUGUGUCAGAGGAGGAAACUGAAUAGACUAGGUGUGGGGGGGAGGGAGGCUGGGCAACUCCUGGGUUCUCUGCCUGGCUCAGAGGCAGUGUGAUUCAGGGUAGGUCUAUGCUGCAAUCAUAGGGUGUGAGUGCAGCUCAAGUGGGCAUACCUGAGCUAGCCUGAAUCUAGCUAACUUGGGUCCUGGCAGAACACUUCAGCAUAGAGUUCUGGUGAUCUUGUACAGCCCCCACUGCCACUGUGCUCCGGUGCUUGAACUAGUUCGAUUAAAGCUAGUUUGCGUACAUCUAACUGAGCUGCAGUCACACCCGGUGAUCACAGCAGAGACAUACCCUGAAUGGAGUAAGUUGGGGGCCAGAACGUCAGGGCUGAUUCUGACUCUGGGAUGGAGCAUAGCUUACAGGGUGUUCAAGCAAAGACACACUGAGCUUCUAGAAAAGGAGUACUUGUGGCACCUUAGAGACUAACAAAUUUAUCUUAUGCUCAAAUAAAUUUGUUAGUCUCUAAGGUGCCACAAGUACUCCUUUUCUUUUUGCGAAUACAGACUAACACGGCUGCUACUCUGAAAACUGAGCUCCUAGAAUCCUGGGUGCUCUGCCACUGUUUUGCUGUGCAGUCUUGACCAAAGUCUGGUCUAUACUAGAAAAGUAGGUUUGUUUAACUACAUUGACCAGGGUGUGAAAAAUUCACACCCCUGAGCAAUGUAGUUAAGCCACCUACAUCCCCUGAUAGGCAGCGGUAGGUCGACGGAAGAAUUAUUUGGUCAACCUAGCUCCUGCCUCUCGGGGAGGAGGAUGACCAUGCCUGUCAGCAUCGGUAGUGUUACACUAAAAUGCCACAGCCUCCUUUACAGGAAAUAGAGUUAUCAUGAUGUUUGAAGCAUCAGCUGCAGCUUGGGAGAAUUCCCUUUCUUGUUGGUAAAGAACUGUAUCACACCACAGGCUGAGCGUGGCCCACGAAUGAGCGAGAGCAACCUGAGUCUCCUGUCAUAUGAAAGGGAUCUGACUUCAUACCUCAGCCUGGGUGGCACUGACUCCUCGUUGUUUUUGCUGAUACAGACUAACACGCUACCUCUCUGAAACCUGUAGAACUCAGUGGUUUGCUAUCCGAGCAGACUUCAGUGUGAGUUUAUGAACAGCCUUUACAUGGCGCAGCACUUUCAUAUUAAGAUCAAUGCUUUUAGAUUUCUGGAUCUUUGAAUAUUUGUGAGACUGAAUGAUCGAUCACAUCAAGACGUAUCUUUUCGUUUCUUAUUUCAUGAAAGUAAAGUUAAAAGAGGC
Dermochelys coriacea (leatherback sea turtle) is the source of this 2884-nucleotide long non-coding RNA. RefSeq lists it as uncharacterized. Lineage: Eukaryota; Metazoa; Chordata; Testudines; Dermochelyidae. The record is from RefSeq and is a predicted model, not a curated record. The transcript is spliced from 2 exons.